Molecule: transfer RNA, 74 nt
Filed under: Candidatus Lloydbacteria bacterium RIFCSPHIGHO2_02_FULL_50_13
Lineage: Bacteria; Candidatus Lloydiibacteriota
Description: tRNA-His
Rfam family: tRNA
About the family: Transfer RNA (tRNA) molecules are approximately 80 nucleotides in length.
Source: RNAcentral
GUGCCUAUGGUGUAGUGGUAGCACAGAAGCUUGUGGAGCUUUUAGUUCCGGUUCGAUCCCGGAUAGGCACCCUA